UGGGGAAUUUUGGACAAUGGGCGAAAGCCUGAUCCAGCCAUACCGCGUGAGUGAAGAAGGCCUUCGGGUUGUAAAGCUCUUUCAGCCGGAAAGAAAUCGCGUUGGUUAAUAUCCAGCGUGGAUGACGGUACCGGAAGAAGAAGCACCGGCUAACUACGUGCCAGCAGCCGCGGUAAUACGUAGGGACCAAGCGUUGUUCGGAUUUACUGGGCGUAAAGGGUGCGUAGGCGGCAUAUCAAGUCACUUGUGAAAUCUCCGGGCUUAACUCGGAACUGCCAAGUGAUACUGAUGUGCUAGAGUGCAGAAAGGGCAACUGGAAUUCUUGGUGUAGCGGUGAAAUGCGUAGAUAUCAAGAGGAACACCUGAGGCGAAGGCGAGUUGCUAGGCUGACACUGACGCUGAGGUACGAAAGCUAGGGGAGCGAACGGGAUUAGAUACCCUUGUAGUCCCUGAGCGGGCUGGCAAGGCGCAU
Molecule: ribosomal RNA, 472 nt
Filed under: uncultured bacterium
Lineage: Bacteria
Description: bacterial SSU rRNA
Rfam family: Bacterial small subunit ribosomal RNA
Source: RNAcentral